RNAcentral lists this long non-coding RNA (220 nucleotides) under Carica papaya (papaya). Its description in RNAcentral is "long non-coding RNA (CPAP_LNC013666)". The record is from RNAcentral. Lineage: Eukaryota; Viridiplantae; Streptophyta; Magnoliopsida; Brassicales; Caricaceae.
UGUACACGAUCUGUAAUAUUCUUACAUAUGUUUUGAUUGAUACUGGUGCCUCACAUUCUUUUAUACCAAACUUAAACGUAUUACCUGAAAGACUUGAUUAUGUGCUGUUUGUGUGUACUCUUGGGAGUAUGACACAACUAGGGAAGGUUAUAUACAGAGUCUGUAUCAUAGAUAUUGCAUAUAAAAAAUUGAGUGUGGACCUAAUAGAAAUUAACACGGG